This 474-nucleotide ribosomal RNA is filed under the name uncultured bacterium. Its description in RNAcentral is "SSU rRNA". It matches the Rfam family "Bacterial small subunit ribosomal RNA", at positions 26 to 521 of the family's 1533-position model. The record is from RNAcentral.
AGGACGAACGCUUGCGACGUGCCUAAGAAAUGCAAGUCGAACGGACCAGCAGCAAUGCUGGUUAGUGGCGAACGGUCGCGUAACACGUGGGCAACCUGCCCUGAAGCGGGGGACAACAACUCGAAAGAGUUGCUAAUACCGCAUGUGUAUCGCUGUGGCAUCACAGAGGAUACAAAGCCGCAAGGCACUUCAGGAUGGGCCCGCGGCCUAUCAGCUUGUUGGUGAGGUAACGGCUCACCAAGGCUUCGACGGGUAGCUGGUCUGAGAGGACGAUCAGCCGGAUUGGGACUGAGAUACGGCCCAGACUCCUACGGGGGGCAGGCAAUUAGGAAUCUUGCACAAUGGGCGAAAGCCUGAUGCAGCGACGUCGCGUGAAGGAUGAAAUCUUUCGGGAUGUAAACUUCUUUACCAGGGAAGAAUAAUGACGGUACCUGGUGAAUAAGCCCCGGCUAACUACGCGCCAGCAGCCGCGGU